UAAUGGCUGAUAUAUUUAUAUGAAUUUUGGUGGAUCUGCUGAGGUCCAGAAAAUAAUCAAUGCGGACUGUGUUUGUUCGAACGUUGAUAAAUGAUCCAGGAAGAAUUGCCCUGGGUCUGUGUCUGUGUGUGUGUGUUGUUCAGUGACAACAUGCACAGUUUAAAAUUGGGCGCUGUUCCUUCCUCUUUUUGGUUUCAAAACACAAAGGCUGUUGGAUGAAGAAUUACUGUGUGAGGAACGGCUUCACUUUUGAUUAGGGAAAUAAUAUGCUUACUUUUGGGUUUAUGAAGAUCUCGUAACAAUCUGGGGGAGAUGCCGGGGUAAAAAGAGUGAGCUCGGACGAAGGGGUCCGAGAAAAGAACACCGUGAGUUGAGCAAGGUGUUUUAACUGACUCAGGAUUUCAGAGAAUCGAGUCAGCUGUGAUCUUGAGUUUUAAGGGCCUGCAAAAGAGUGGAUAACAGCGCUGAAAAUUCUCGGUGACCUUUUCCAGAUUACAAUGGGCAGAGGAGAAGGCUAAGUCUCUGUCUAAAAGGAUUGCCGCGAGCCAAUCCAGUCUAAAAGCAGAAAGAACUAUUUUCCUAAAAACAAAGUAAAACAAAUAAAUGAGUUGAUGUUGCUGAGAGUGAAGACUGAAUAUUUGCGAGAUAGUCUCCACUGUCAGCAAUACCUGAUGUUAAUGUAUGUGAGUGAAUGUGUGUAAAUGGAUGGUGACUGGACGGACGAGGCAGACCAUAGGUUGGACCGACUGGACACUGAGAUAAAGACUGGACUAAGGUUAGACACAUGACUGAUAACUGUUCUGUUUUAAGUUUCCUUUCUUAUAACACAGGUUGGAUCAUAAGUGGGGAAAAACUGAGUAUGAAAUGUGAAGUUCUGGUUAACAUACAGGUUUUUGUUUCUAGGAAGUUCCAAGGAUGCAGGCUGUGGAUGGAGCCAAGAAAAGAUUGGACAUAAUGAUUAAUUUGAUUUCAUUCCUUAAACACAGGUUUGAAGGGCCGGAGCAUGAAUAUCUAAUAUGAUAUGACUAACCUUUUUCUUUUAAUCUCCUAAGCUCGAGUGAAGGAUUUUGAGUUUGUAACACAUAAGAUGUGUCACAAAAGGGGGGAGUUAUAGGAUUUAAGGUUUAAUUUGAAAUGGGUUUUAGGAUCGUUUUAUGACGUUUGGGGUUUUUGAUAAUUUAGAUAUAGAAAUUGUUUUGUGGUUCUUUUUGAUCUGUUUCUAUGCUCAGAUGGUGAUGGUUUAUAUCUUACCCUGGGCGUGUUUAAUAAAACUAAAAGUGUUGCUCACACACAUGAAGGGCAUGGAGAUUAAGUAAAGUUAAUAUAAAGGACAGAGCCCAGAACAUGAUAUGGUGAAACAACUUUGAAUGAUUAAAGGAACCUUAGAUGAACACAGUAGAUUAGUGAGGUGUAGCAGAGAGAGGCUGUUUGUUUUCUAUCCUUUACAGGAGAAGAGUUCAGGACCACAGCGACCACAGGGGUGGCAAGAAUCCUGGAAGCCUGAGAUCGAACGGAACCAACCAGAGAAAGGAGAGAAACAGAGCACAAAGACACCUAGUUGUUUAUAUUACAAAGAAGAUCAAAAGCUUGUUAGACAUAGGUUAUAAUGGAAGCAUAAAAGGGAUGAGAGGAACUUUACAUAACAUAGAAAUCCUGCAACAAUUAAGUAAAUUGCCCAAACACAGUGUUCAGACCGGAUAUGCGCUACCCGUUAAAGGGGGCAAAGAAAUCAGGCCUAAGUUUGAAAAAUGAAAUGGGUUAACUCGAUAGAGGAUGUUUCCAAAGGUCGAGAAAAUAAUGUAGGACCUUUUACCAGGAGAAAGCUAAUUGUAUCUUUUACACUUUACAGUGUGCACUGAGGGAAGUCAGGAAUAGUUUAAAUUAGGAUUGAAAAAAAAAAUUAAACUAGGUGAAAAGGGGGUGUAGCAAGUAGAUUUAGGGCAGCUCACAGCCUGGCGUAAACGCAAGGUGUCGUCACACAGCUUAAGUUAUUUGUUUGAUUUAUUUUAAACAUUGAAAACAUACAACCCGUUGAGGAGACAGAUAGGGUUGGGGAAUUGAAAGGUUUUGUUUGUUUAGCAUAAUUUCUUUUGUUAUAUUUUAGCUUUAACAGGGAACAUGCCUCUCUGGAGCUUCUCUCCUGAUGCUACCCUGCCAAAGACCCUUAUCCAUAGAGACUAUGUCAGCUCCCAAACAGACAGCAACAAACCAAAUCUAGCAAUAAAACAACUUAAACAUCAAUAGUAACAAAGCAAGAACAAUACAGAAUCCACAUCUGAACCGAAGAAUAAAACAGUGAAAUGUGGAUUAUUAAAUAUUAGGUCUCUCUCUUCAAAGCCUCUGUUGGCUCACGCUGAGCGGUCGCAGCAGAUGGCUGCCCGUACCUGAGCGUGGUUCUGCUGGAGGUUUCUUCCUGUUAAAAGGGAGUUUUUCCUUCCCACUGUUGCCAAAGUGCUUGCUCAUAGGGGGUCACAAGAUUGUUGGGUUUUUCUCUGUAUCUAUGAAGCGCCUGGAGCCAAUUUUUGUUGUGAUUUAGCGCUAUAUAAAUAAAAUUCAAUUGAAUUGUAUUGAAGUAAACUUAAUGUGAUAAAUUAGGAAUUAGUUCAUUUCUCAAGUGAAAAAUGAAAAAGGGGGACUGGUGUUAGGAAUAAAAGAAAUAUUUUUAAUGUGUAUCUGUUCAUUAUCCUGUUUUAUGUACUUUAAUAAUGAAGGCUUGUAGAGCAAGGCCACCUUUGACUUACAAACAAGAAGCUCAGCCAGACUGAAAAACAGGAAGUUUUAGUGCACAAGGCAUAUUAAUAGAUAUAGACACAAAAAAGAGGAACUCCCCAUAUAAACAACGUUCAAGCCUGUGUGACGUGUAAAGUACCGAAAUAACACCAUAUAAGUCACAGCUGAUGAUUCUAAUGUUAGAGAGCUCUUGCAACUGGCGUUUGAGCUGUGCAGAGGUCUCUCACCCCCAGAAGAUGAUUGAAUAAAGAAAGACAGGUACUUAUCUAUGUCAGCAUAAGGUGGAGUCCAACAGAAGCAAGGCACCCUACAUGCGCACAGCAUGCAGCAGGGGUUGCCAAAAUAAUAUAGAAAACAGCACAUGCAGUGAGAGAACACCCACUAAAAGUUCUGAUUACACAUAGUGUGGUGGCAUAUGUGAACUCGCAGGCGUUCAACUAUGACAUCAUUAGCACAACAGAGACUGAGUAAAGUUUUAGAUGCUCCAAAUCUGACAUUUACACAUGAAGGAAUCAAUAUGGCAGAUUUAAUGGGAUCAGGAGAACCUCAUGAUUGUACUAAGAAAGCAGAAGUUGAAGGGAAAGUCAGGGAAGAUUUAAAAGCAGAACCUAUCCCUGGAGCUGAGGAUUGGUUCAUAGAUGGCUGCUGUCAUCGUGAUGAAGAAGGAUCGAAAGCAGGCUAUGCUAUAGUCUGCAAACAAGGAACUGAAUUUGAGCCCACGAGGAACUCCAGCAGUGGAAGGAGCCACGCUGGACUGGUCCUUAUGAGGUCGUUGCCAGAACAACUAUAGCAGGUCAACUAAAAGGGAAAGGCGAUGCCUGGUAUCAUUGGUCGCAGUGUGCGCCAGCACAUGAGAGCUUGCUAGAGGAAAACUCCUCUUCAACUAACACAGGUGUCAACGAUAACGAGCAGAGGCAAAAUAAAUCCUCUCACCUGUGCAACGGGCCAACCAGUAGUCUACCUGGGAGGCCGAAGAGAGAAGAGGAGCAGCGCAGAAGGUCGCCACGCCAGCAGAAAGGAGCGGUGACAAGUUGAGGACUCCACAAAAGCAGGGGAGUUUCAUUCCAGGAUAUAAAGUUUAUGUAACAUGAUGCAAACACACGAGUCAGAGACACGUAAUGAGAAAACUGAUUAGAAUGUUCCUUACAACUACAUGUUUAUUGUAUGCAAUGAUAUUAACUAUGGCUGUGUUGUUUAUUGUCUAUAUUUUGCAGGGCACUCUGGACCACUUGUCUGAACACGGAGGCCAGUCCAGCCCAGCACUUCCUGAGACUGUAGUUGCUAAAACGGGAUCGGUAAAAAACACAAAAGCGCCAGGUGUCAGGUAAAGGUGAUGAGUGUCUCAGCAUGAAUAAUGGCAUAGAGUUGAAUUAUGUUAAAGGGUCUACCCGCUCAUUCACAUUUGAUUUGUGUGACGUUAUUAAGUGUACAGGAGCUAGUAGUAGCUGGAGAGCGUAUGAUGUAUGGGUCUGCAAUCACCCCAUGAUAUGCUUAGGGCAAAUUUAGUUGAUGCAAAGUCUAAGCCGCUCGCAGAAAGCUU
This is a long non-coding RNA of Oreochromis aureus, 4270 nucleotides long. The record is from Ensembl. NCBI's taxonomy places the organism in Eukaryota, Metazoa, Chordata, Actinopteri, Cichliformes, Cichlidae.